This is a transfer RNA of Camelus ferus (Wild Bactrian camel), 72 nucleotides long. It matches the Rfam family "tRNA". From Rfam's summary of the family: Transfer RNA (tRNA) molecules are approximately 80 nucleotides in length. Lineage: Eukaryota; Metazoa; Chordata; Mammalia; Artiodactyla; Camelidae. The record is from Rfam.
GUGGGUAUAGCUCAGUGGUAGAGUGUGUGCUUAGCAUGCAUGAGGUCCUGGGUUCAAUCCCCAGUGCCUGCA